AUGAGAGGUCUGUGGACAUUGCCUGGGAAGACAGCGGGGCCCUUCCCAGCACCUGGGGAGCAGAGCUGGCCCCGGGCCCUGCCAUCUGUCGCUGAGGGAACACUUCCAGCAGGCACAGAAGCAACUGGAGGAGGAGGAGGUGUGACGACCCGAGCCAUGCGGCGGAGGCCAGCCCCACGCUGCUCAUCCAAAGUCAAAGGCAAAGCUCACCUUGCAGCCAGACCUCCCAGCUGGGUGAGGCAGCUUCCGACCAGCGUUGACCCUAAAUUGUAUGCACGCCCUCUUGAGCUCAGGCUGCUGCCAACAGAGCACCGCAGAAGGGUGGCUCCCUCCCAUCCCAGGGGCUUUGAGCACUCCAAGUCCAAGUGGAAGUGAGGAAGUCCAAGUUCAAGGUGAGCUCUCCUCAUGGAUGCAGUGGCUGCCUUCUCGCCGUGUCCUCACACGGAGGAGAGAGACGGAGCUCUGACCCCUGUUCAGCCGCUUCCCAGGGCACUAAUUCCGUUACAGGGACCCACCCUCACGCCUCAUCCCCACCUGUUUGUGUCCCAAAGGCCCCUGUGUCAAAUACCAGCACAUCUCCGGCUGCAGCUUCAGCACCAAGUUUCAGGGAACCCUAGCACCGUUCUUCCCAAACACCUUCCAUGAGCACCCCCCCCAGUAAAUGGGGCUGGGUGGCCCCACUCUGCUGUAACCCCCACGUACUGUGAGAUCUUCAUUGCUCAGCUGGUCUGGGACCACUCUCAGGGCAGGGACAGAGCCACACCCACCACUGCAUCCCAGGGCCAGGGCCUGCCAUACAGCAGGUGCUCAGUAAAGCCGAUGCCUUCUCUCAGCUGCCCUGACUUCCUGCUCUGGAUCCCCAUGGCCUCGUCCUCUCACCUCCUGCCUUGGCUGAGCAGGAGGUAGAUUUGUACGACUUCUACCUCUUGCCUGGCGCCUAAGUCCCACCUUCCUCAGAGGGACGUGAGCUCAUCCAAGAACAGAUGCGUUAGUGGCUUCGAGAAGUGGUUCUAUAUUUGUGGAUGGAGAGGGAACGGAGGGAUCAAACCAUUUUUUUGAAUUAAGUUAUUCUGUUUAUUCAAGAAGCAGAGACAGAAGAGAUCUCCCAUUGUUGGUUCAUUCCCCCAAAUGUGUGCAAUGGCCAGGACUGGGCAGGGCCAAAGCCAGGAGCCAGGAGCUCCAUCGAGGUCUCCCUCGUGAGUGGCACGGCCC
RNAcentral lists this long non-coding RNA (1212 nucleotides) under Oryctolagus cuniculus (rabbit). RNAcentral's name for it is "lncRNA (ENSOCUG00000030110.1)". Lineage: Eukaryota; Metazoa; Chordata; Mammalia; Lagomorpha; Leporidae. The record is from RNAcentral.